Molecule: ribosomal RNA, 454 nt
Filed under: uncultured bacterium
Lineage: Bacteria
Description: bacterial SSU rRNA
Rfam family: Bacterial small subunit ribosomal RNA
Source: RNAcentral
UACGGGAGGCAGCAGGGGGAAUAUUGCACAAUGGGCGCAAGCCUGAUGCAGCCAUGCCGCGUGUAUGAAGAAGGCCUUCGGGUUGUAAAGUACUUUCAGUCGUGAGGAAGGUGUUAAGGUUAAUAACCUUAGCAAUUGACGUUAGCGACAGAAGAAGCACCGGCUAACUCCGUGCCAGCAGCCGCGGUAAUACGGAGGGUGCGAGCGUUAAUCGGAAUUACUGGGCGUAAAGGGCACGCAGGCGGUUAAUUAAGUUGGAUGUGAAAUCCCCGGGCUUAACCUGGGAAUGGCAUUCAAGACUGGUUAGCUAGAGUCUUGUAGAGGGGGGUAGAAUUCCAUGUGUAGCGGUGAAAUGCGUAGAGAUGUGGAGGAAUACCGGUGGCGAAGGCGGCCCCUGGACAAAGACUGACGCUCAUGUGCGAAAGCGUGGGGAGCAAACGAGGGAUUAGAUACC